AUUGAACGCUGGCGGCAGGCCUAACACAUGCAAGUCGAGCGGAUGAACGGAGCUUUCUCCUGGAUUCAGCGGCGGACGGGUGAGUAAUGCAUAGGAAUCUGCCUGGUAUUGGGGGAUAACGUCCGGAAGCGAGCGCUAAUACCACAUACGUCGUGAUGGUGAAACUGGGGGAUCUUCGGACCUAACGCGAUCUGAUGAGCCUAGGUCGGAUUAGCUAGUUGGUAGGGUAACGGCCUACCAAGGCGACGAUCCGUAACUAGUCUGAGAGGAUGAUCUGUCACACUGGAACUGAGACACGGUCCAGACUCCUACGGGAGGCAGCAGUGGGGAAUCUUGGGCAAUGGGCGAAAGCCUGAUGCAGCCAUGCCGCGUGUGUGAAGAAGGUCUUCGGAUUGUAAAGCACUGUUAGUUGGGAGGAACGGCAGUGAGUUAAUACCUUGCUGUUUUGACGUUACCUACACAAAAAGCACCGGCUAACUUCGUG
Molecule: ribosomal RNA, 484 nt
Filed under: uncultured bacterium
Lineage: Bacteria
Description: partial 16S ribosomal RNA
Rfam family: Bacterial small subunit ribosomal RNA
Source: RNAcentral